UCAAGUCAGUCAAGUUUUCACUCACAGUUGAACAGUCACACGUCGAGCUUUGUGUCAGUCUAUGCUUCGUUCCCACAGUUAUAGGACUGGCUGGCUGGCGGAAUGACGUAACCUGAAUUCCUAUGGUUGGCACUGGCCGUCUGGAAUUCCUCAUAUGGAAAUGUAUCUCCCCCUCUCCCACAUUUAAUGUGUGUUAAUGUAUUAUCUUUAUGUUCGAUGAUACCGCUUUUCAAAAGCACGUUAAAGUCAGCUGGCGUCGAGACGGAAUCGAAUUGUAUGUCUGUAUCUUUCCAUUGGUCGCAGCCAGAUCUCUGACGCGUUAUUACGCGUGGCUUGCAAGCAGCACAACUUUGCGUAACAGUAGUCUAUGACAUUAUAUUACUGUGGACUAUUAUCAGGUGAAGAGUGUGUAUUUCCUAUGUAAUGGAUAUUACCAUCGGAACGGAUCUGAGUGACAUAGAGAGAAAGAUGGCUCGGAAGAUUCCAGAGAGUCUGUUUCCUUUUGCCACGGAUGGACGGAUGAUGAAAGAUAAUACAGAUGGUAGAGACGGGUGGGACCUGCCUGGCCAUGUACAAGACAUGUCCUACACCGUGAGUCUGCAGAGCAACAUGCGACUCCUAAGACAAGAAAUGUCACACCUGCGGGGCAUGGACGUCCGUCUGAUGUGCCAGCUCCUGUCGAUCAACGACGGCAUCGAGGCGAUGCGCUGGGACCUGGAGGUGUAGCUGAGGUUGGGGAUGGCAGCGGUGACUAGCCAGGAGAGUAGCCUGGCCGAGAGCCAGGAUGCACCCCGGCGAAGCAGCGUGUCCAGUCUACACUAUGGGAGAGAUGGUUUUGAUGUGAUGACUGUGGGGAGUUAUCUGGGUAGCUCGGCGGAAGACCCAGCGGCGAUACCGGCCCUCUCUCGCCCGCUGACCGGGUAGUUGGAGAAGGAGGCUUGGAGGGAAAGCUACUGUACAUAUCCAGACUAUUAUUGCAGACCAGCUCUAACAAACCUGAUUCAGCUAUACUGGCCUAAAAUCAAGAUGUGAUGAUUAGUUGAUUAGUUAAAUCAGGUGUGUUGGGCUGCCUGGAACAAAAGCAUGCCCACAUUGUAACCUACCUGUACUGUACCUGUCCAGGAACACUGUAUCCAGAGGGUUUCAGAGGACAACGUUAGUGGGAGAGAGUCCAGGAACACUGUAUCCAGAGGGUUUCAGAGGACAACGUUAGUGGGAGAGAGUCCAGGACAAUCAUGUUGCAGUGCUGAAAGAGUAUAACCUUCGUCGCCACUAUGUGAGUCUUCAUGCCGACAAAUAUGACAACUUUCAAGGACAGUGGAGAAGAGAGAAGGUGAAUGAACUGUUGGUGGGUCUGAAGAAACAGCAGUCUGUGUUUACUCACAGCCGAGACAUCAGUGAC
Molecule: long non-coding RNA, 1402 nt
Filed under: Salmo salar (Atlantic salmon)
Lineage: Eukaryota; Metazoa; Chordata; Actinopteri; Salmoniformes; Salmonidae
Description: lncRNA (ENSSSAG00000100076.1)
Source: RNAcentral